AGCAGCCCUGCGGGGCCUACCGCCUGCCGCACGCACUCCCGCCGGCGCGCGCGCACUCGCACUCGCUCGCUCGCCCUCUCCUCCUUCCGCGUUACCUGUGUCAGGACACCAAUCCGGAGUCACUGGGAGCCUCGGUCCUCCUUAAACCCUUCAAGUCUGUCAGAUAGAAUACCCUGGAUUUCAAUAUAAUACUAAUAGUGAUCAUUCUAAAGUAAUUUCCAUUUACAGAGCACUUUCACUUAGGGCAGUAACUCCUGUACCAAAAGAACGUACACUCGGUAUUUGUUGCAUACGUGGAUAACUAUAGUUGAGCAGUGCCAUGACACAGAAUGAAAGCCUGAAAUGUUUCUGAGACAAGUGCAAGAACUGAAGAACAACAACCAAGAAUACCUGGAUUUAAAACCUAUACUCCUGGCCAGGCACGGUGGCUCACGCCUGUAAUCCCAGCAUGUUGGGAGGCCGAGGCGGGUGGAUCACAAGGUCAGGAGUUCAAGACCAGCCUGAACAACAUGGUGAAACCCCGUCUCUACUAAAAAUACAAAAAUUAA
Long non-coding RNA from Homo sapiens (human), 548 nucleotides. Ensembl annotates it as R3HDM2 divergent transcript. Its record names the gene R3HDM2-DT. The record is from Ensembl. Lineage: Eukaryota; Metazoa; Chordata; Mammalia; Primates; Hominidae.